Molecule: ribosomal RNA, 464 nt
Filed under: Vreelandella stevensii
Lineage: Bacteria; Pseudomonadati; Pseudomonadota; Gammaproteobacteria; Oceanospirillales; Halomonadaceae
Description: partial 16S ribosomal RNA
Rfam family: Bacterial small subunit ribosomal RNA
Source: RNAcentral
CCUACGUGUGGCAGCAGUGGGGAAUAUUGGACAAUGGGCGAAAGCCUGAUCCAGCCAUGCCGCGUGUGUGAAGAAGGCCUUCGGGUUGUAAAGCACUUUCAGUGGGGAAGAAAGCCUUGGGGCUAAUACCCUCGAGGAAGGACAUCACCCACAGAAGAAGCACCGGCUAACUCCGUGCCAGCAGCCGCGGUAAUACGGAGGGUGCGAGCGUUAAUCGGAAUUACUGGGCGUAAGCGCGCGUAGGCGGUCUGAUAAGCCGGUUGUGAAAGCCCCGGGCUCAACCUGGGAACGGCAUCCGGAACUGUCAGGCUAGAGUGCAGGAGAGGAAGGUAGAAUUCCCGGUGUAGCGGUGAAAUGCGUAGAGAUCGGGAGGAAUACCAGUGGCGAAGGCGGCCUUCUGGACUGACACUGACGCUGAGGUGCGAAAGCGUGGGUAGCAAACAGGAUUAGAUACCCUGGUAGUC